GAAGCGGGUGUAGGGAGUGGUGGGGAGUUGUGUUUAUUAGCCUGCCUCGGGCCUGAGCUGGGCUUACAGUUGACCCUAAAGAGGGUGGUAGUGGAGGGGGGGGUCAGGCUUGGGGAAGGGUUCCCUGAGGGAACAGGAGAAAAAUAGAGAGUUAGAGGUACGUGUGCAUGUGUUUUGGGAGUCCAAACGGGUGAAGGUAGAACCAUUGAAUGAGGAGGAGGGGAGGAGCAGCAUUUCCCCAGAGGACUUUUUGCCCAGAGGUGGAGGCAUCUCACACCUCUGCGGACAGCUGAGAAGCACGUGGUCCCUGUGCAGUUUAUGAAGGCUGUUAGCCUGGACACGUCCAACUCCAAAGGGCCAGCCCUACUUCAGUAACUCUUUGAUGCACAGUGAAUACAUAUUAAGAGCUGGGAAUAACGUUAUCACUCUGGGAUGCAAAAGCUAUCAUUUGAGACUUGCAGUGGAUUAUAAUUUACGACCAGUUUAUCUGAUGUGAGAUUUUGAUGGUAUGUGGAAUAGUUUCAAAGCUUUUUCUGAAGCCAGCAUCUAAUUUCAGGAUUUAUAGCAAGCUGUAGGCACUGUCCUCCCAAUCUCAGCCUACAGUUGUGCUCCUGGAUGAGAUCUCUGGGAAAGCUGGUGUCCUUGGCAUUGCUUGGUAAUGCGUGCUGCCUUUUCCAUCACCAUGCUGGGAUCAUGCUGCCCUCCCACAAGACAAGUGAUUUCACCUCUCCAGUCAGACAGAGCUGAUGGUCCAGUUGCCAGCUAGCCACUGUACUGGUGGGAAGGAGUAUUUCUACCCAGCUUGAAGAUACUGAAAAUGCCGUCCAAAAUUAUAUCAUCUGCCUGGCAUCUACUCUACUAAGCACUGGUCAAGGAGGAUCCUAGUGUUUGCUCAGAAGCAUAUCUCCUCCUUUACUGGGGCACUGCUGACACAGGCUCACCCUACUGCUUUGCUUUGGUCCUGCCAUCUGCCCAGGAAUGGGUUGUGAUGGCACAUGGAUUUUCUUGCACGAGCAGCAGAGAACAUAGUGCAUAACACUCAACAUCUGCAGAUCCUGAGGGACUGUGCUUUCCCUGAAGCUGGUUGGCAGUGUGAGGUGCCAAAACAGGAAGAGUAAUGAAAGGGUACUCAUCCUAUCUCACAUGUCAGGCAGAGGAGCGCGCAGCAGGAGGAGAUGAUGAAAGAUGCAGUUCAAAUAAGAGUGACCUACACAAAUUCACGGUGCCCAGCUGGCUGCUGAGCACGGCCGAGCUUGUAUUAUAUUGGCAAGACAACAUGUUGGUUGCAGAAGACCACUUUCCAUACAACCAUGAAUACUCCAAAUUCAUUAUUGAUUGUACCUCAGUGGGUAUUGUUGGCAUUGUGAUGUUUGCUCCUUCCCAGAACUCCUGAUGUUUUGGAGGCUGCCAGGACUCAGCAUGGGAAGCUUUGAAGAAUUCAGCUUCUCUAAAAAAAUCUUUUCUCUUGGAGAAAACAAAUACAAUAAAUUUCCCUCUUGGCUGC
RNAcentral lists this long non-coding RNA (1504 nucleotides) under Gallus gallus (chicken). RNAcentral describes it as "lncRNA (ENSGALG00010022179.1)". Lineage: Eukaryota; Metazoa; Chordata; Aves; Galliformes; Phasianidae. The record is from RNAcentral.